CCUACGGGGGGCAGCAGUGGGGAAUAUUGGACAAUGGGGGGAACCCUGAUCCAGCGACGCCGCGUGAGUGAAGAAGUAUUUCGGUAUGUAAAGCUCUAUCAGCAGGGAAGAAAGAAAUGACGGUACCUGACUACGAAGCCCCGGCUAACUACGUGCCAGCAGCCGCGGCAAUACGUAGGGGGCAAGCGUUAUCCGGAUUUACUGGGUGUAAGGGGUGCGUAGACGGCGAUGCAAGUCUGAAGUGAAAGGCGGGGGCCCAACCCCCGGACUGCUUUGGAAACUGUAUGGCUGGAGUGCAGGAGAGGUAAGUGGAAUUCCUGGUGUAGCGGUGAAAUGCGUAGAUAUUAGGAGGAACGCCAGUGGCGAAGGCGGCUUACUGGACUGUAACUGACGUUGAGGCUCGAAAGCGUGGGGAGCAAACAGGAUUAGAUACCCCAGUAGUC
This 443-nucleotide ribosomal RNA is filed under the name uncultured bacterium. RNAcentral describes it as "partial 16S ribosomal RNA". It matches the Rfam family "Bacterial small subunit ribosomal RNA", at positions 338 to 795 of the family's 1533-position model. The record is from RNAcentral.